UUAAGUUUAAUACAAAUGGCGCGCUUUUAUGAUCGUAUUGUAAAUAGUAUACUACAUAAUAUAAAGUGUUCAGAGCGGAUGUUUAUUGUAAUUAAAAAAAAAAUGACAGAUUUGACAUUAGGUGAAGUAACUAUAAGUUUUCCGUUUAAGCCUUACGAUGUUCAAGGUCCGUACAUGGAAAAAGUUAUUCAAUGUUUACAACAGGGGCAGAACGGGGUGCUGGAGUCGCCGACGGGCACCGGCAAGACGCUCAGCCUGCUGUGCUCGAGCCUGGCCUGGCUCACGGCAAAGAAGGCCCAGCGCCAGGCCCAGGCCCAGGGCCUGCUGCAGCUGGAGGACGGGGACUUGGUCGCGGGGCUGCAGAGGAGCCUGGACGCCGCCGUGGGGACCGUGCCGGCCGCCAGGACCUGGGGAGACCCGAGGAUCAUCUACGCCUCGCGCACGCACGCAGACCUGACCCAGGCCGUGCAGGAGCUGAAGAGGACGCGCUACGCUCACGUGAAGGUGGCCGUGCUGGGUUCCAGGGACCAGAUGUGCAUCCACCCUGAGAUGAAGACUGUGAACGUCAAAAAUAAGGAUCACUUUUGUCGUGCCAAAGUGAAUUCUCGCUCAUGCCACUUCUAUAACAAUGUGGACACAGCCAAAGAGAGUUCUGCACUCAAAGAUGGAGGUAUUCUCGACAUUGAGGACUUGGUAAGAGAGAGCAGAAAACUGCAGUGCUGUCCGUACUACAUUGCCAAAGCAGUGAAAGACACUGCCGAUAUUGUCUUCAUGCCCUACAAUUACCUCCUGGAUCCCAAAACGAGGCAUUCUCAAGGUAUCGAUCUGUUUAACACUGUUAUUAUUUUGGAUGAAGCGCACUACAUACCAAAAAUGUGUGAAGAAGCAAUGUCUUUUCAGAUCUGCAGCACUGACAUAGAAUCGGCAAUCACAGAAAUCACACAGGUAAUGGAGUGCGCUGCAAUCGCGAACUUGGGUGGAGCGACGGCUGGGUCGGAAUUAUCUCUGGAUGAGUUGUCCACCCUGAAGACCAUGCUCGUGGAAUUGGGGAAAGAAAUUACUGGGUUGGAUUUGGAGGAGAGAGACACGAUACAUCCCGGCAGCUUUGUGUUCGAUCUGCUGUCAAAAGUGGAGCUAACGUGCGAGAAAUCUCGAGCUGUUGUGGACCUUCUGGAGAAAGCAGUUGAGUGUCUGUCCAUCACAAACCCCUCACCGUACCAGCACAGGGGAGUUGGUUUGCUAAAGUUCCAGGACUUGUUGAAGGUUGUGUUCUGUGUCGGCGUCUACAUGAGCAAGCGAAGGAAUUGUCAUAAGGUGUAUGUGACCCGCGAAGAAGUUAGCACAGAAGAUUCUUGUGUGCAGAACACGCAGAACAUAACAAAUAAUGGAAAAGUGAUUAACUACUGGUGUUUGAGUCCAGGGUUCGGGAUGCAGCGCCUGGCGGACCAGGGCGUGCGCUGCGUGCUGCUGACGAGCGGCACGCUCUCGCCGCUCAACGCCCUCGUCAAGGAGCUGUGCAUCCCCGUGCCCGUGACCCUGGAGAACCCCCACGUGAUCCGCCCCAGCCAGGUGUGCGUGGGCAUCGUGGAGGCGGGCCCGGACGGCGUGCCGCUGGACUCCUCCUACCACAACCGGGACAACCAGGCGUACGUGAGUUCGCUGGGACGCACCAUCCUCAACUUGAGUCGCCUGAUCCCUCACGGCCUGCUCGUGUUCUUCCCUUCCUACAUCGCCAUGAGGAAGUGCCAGGAAGCAUGGCAGAAAGAUGGCCUGUGGACCAGAAUCUGUAAUUACAAGCACAUCAUUGUGGAACCACGAACACAAGACGGAGGACUGACGGCUGCUAUCAACGACUACUACGUGAAGAUCGCGGAUCCCAACAAAGGGGGCGCCUGCUUCAUGGCUGUAGCCGGAGGCAAGGGGUCUGAGGAUCUCGACUUUGCUGACAGGAAUGUGCGAGGAGUGAUCUUCGCAGGCAUCCCCUUCCCAUCGGCCGCUGAUCCGCGGGUCGUGCUGAAACGUGGCUACCUUGAUGAGUCCGUCGUGGAGAACACUGCCGGCCUGUCGGGGAACGGCUGGUACCGGCUGGAAGCGUCUCGGGCAGUGAACCAGGCCUUGGGCCGAGUCGUAAGGCACGCCCAGGACUACGGGGCCAUACUGUUGUGCGACAUGCACUACAGUUGUUUGACGUUCACCCGCCAGCUGUCCUCCUGGGUACAGCCUCACGUAAGGGUGUUGGAAGACAUUGAAGAAGUCACCAGCGUCGUGAAACAUUUCUUCGCGGUUGCAGAGCUGCCCGCUGCGAAGAUCACGCUGGACAUCAGAGUAGAAGGAGAGGGGGGACCGGGGCGAGUGUUGUCGGACGCCCUGUGCGGGGGCUGCAGGGCGGAGGUGUUCGAGGCCGCCCUGGCGAGCGUCACGAAGAGGACCAACCACGACCGACCACGGAGCGCUGCGGGGGCGGGGCGGAGACUGGCGGACCCGGUCAAAGUGGCGUUGGUCACGGAGUACCUGAGAGAGGUGGAGAAAUCAUUGGAUAGUGCCUGUUACAAAAAAUUUAUGACAGCUCUGAAGAAAUACACUGUAGAUGGCAGCAUGGAAGACUUCUUCCAUGUACUAAAAGAGGUGUUCCUACCAGAACCAAUUGUCUCUACCCAACUUCUGCCAUUAUUACAAAUUUGAAAUGAAGAAAUCAACCGCGCCCAGCUGCGUAAUCGCGGGAUCCAGUUCCUGGCUGGCGACGCAUCUGUAAAUAGAAGCCAACUCCCCUGUCUGACAGGGUCCGAGAGCCGGACGCCGAAUUGGCAUUUUCAUCUCCUUUCCUCAACAGGACACAAGCGCCCUGGCAUCAUGUUCCCGCGUGAUCUCCGGGAAAGGAAGCCCCGACCUCCGGUGCUUCUGUAUCUUUUGACCCUUUUCUGAACUUUCUUUUAAUUACGUCGUCAGAUGCAGUUAAUUAGAUAAACAUAAUUUCUGAACUUUAAGUAUAUAUCCGGGGAUCGUUUAAACACAUAUGUAUUUUUUUUUAUUGGUUUAUGUAUUUUUAGUAAAUGAAACUUUGAUAAUUCCAUGUACGGCCAGCCAAUGUUUUUUUUUAAUAUACCUGAGACCUGUUUAAGAAUGUAAUUAAUAUUGUACGUUAAUAUUUUCUUGUUUCUGUUAUAAGUUUCCUCAGUAUGGAGUAAUUAUAUUUCAGACGGAAUCACACCUUGUUUUUGUUCGUUUCUAAUAAACUGGUGAAACCUAAAGAUCCACCCAGCAAGGCAAAGAUGGUGGUCAGACCGUGGUUGGCUGCUACAAGAAUGAUGGCAGUUGGCAUGGUUUGAACCUUGCUACAAUUGCUACGGGAUCUUCUCACAUCACAAAUUUAAAAUUCAUUCAAACUAUGAACGAAAACACUCGCUCACUUCCGGAGAUCGCUCCUCAGUUCUGUGUCUUCACAGCGUAAUGUCCCUAGCAAGCUCGUCUACCUAGCUACUGAAUAAACUGGACCUAAGUCCCUUUGGAGCAGGCGAACCAGGCCUGUGUUGCACACAUAGGGCCUAAAGUUAAACGUUCGAUAACAAAGAAAAAUAAAGGUUUAAACACUUCAGUUACGGCACAGCCUUAACUCCAGAAGUUAAACUGUCUGUCUCACACGUCCUUAACGGCACAGUACUUGAACGACGACUGAUGAGGCGACACUAAUGUGUACCACCACGCAGGGAAGUAGCAGCUGCGUGACCUCACCAGCCAAUCGCAACACAGCUUUCAUCCAAGGACACAAUCCCAUACGUAAUACCUUAACCUCGCAUCGAGGCAUGUCUGCAAAAACAAACAUGCAAAACACAAAAUUCUCUCUGCUUGGUUGGCAUGAAAACCUAAUAAUUUUUCCCCAUCACCCGUGGGAGCGAAUACCUGCUGAUAUUUCCAUCAUGAGAUUACUUACAGAAAGUGCUGGAAUGUCUUGGUAACUGAAAAUAUGUCUAGAAAAUUGGCCCCGUCGUGUUGCGCAUCCGUCAAAUGUCCUUCCUUUUCCCAAAAAAACACAAUGUUCUAGAACCAUACUGAAAGUAAAUAAAAUAAAGAAAUAUACAUUUAAACAAAUACUAACCUAGCAAACAGUGUGAAAACCAGCAAAAAUUUAGUUAAAUGGCAAUUCAGAAUAAAAUAAUUAAAUAUCAAAGGCUUAUAAAAACAUUCAUGUAAGUCACAUCAAUAUUAUAAAAGCAAAAUUAUGUGUGUAUGUUUGUUACUACUUGACGUCCGAACCGCUGAAAUGAUUUGGAUUAGACACAGCAUACAGCUAGCUCAUAACCUGGAUUAACACAUAUGCCACAUAUUACUAUGAAAUUCCAUCCCUAAUGGUGUGAAAAAGGGGUAAAUUCAUUUUUUAAACAGAAAAUCAUAGUUCACAGACAUACAAACAGUAAGUGUCAAUGUCCACCACCACAGUAAGGUCUGGACACUUCCUAUCCUUCUCCUUGGUGAGACCCGCCCGCUCAGUGGAGCUCACGGCGACUAGCGAACUAACGGCGCUAAUAACAGUUCAGUUUUGAAUUUUAAACAUGCUUUUCAGUGAGUCCGCCUAGGGUUUGUCAAAUUUUGUGACGAGUGUGUGUGUUUGUUACUUCUUCAUACUGUAUUAAACACAUAGGCUACUUUUUAUCCCAAAAAUGUUUGCUGUUCCUGUCACUAAAACGUGACUGCCUAACAUUUGAUCUAGAGGUUCGUUCUAACCCGUUUUUAUUUUUACAAACUAAAAUACAUUCAUCUAGGAAAAAAAAGUAAGAUGUCUCCUGCAGGAUCACUAAACUCUGUAACAACACAGACCAGAAAGUUUUUUUUAAAAAAACCCAGAAGCCAAGCAAUUCCAAUGAAUUGUAUUAGCAACAGACUUGUAAUUUUCAUUCAUGUAUGGUGAACUCAAAUCACCAAACUCACUUGGUGUCAAAGUCCCAGGGAUUUGGCCAUCACCCCAUUCUCCACGGCCCUGCUGAUAUCAUUUCAAAUUUUUGAGCGUAUGCUGUGAAUGGUCAUGAAUUUGAGUGGUUUUCUUUUCCCGUACGGAUGUACAUACAGGUAUUUAAAAGUUUUGAACAACUGUUUGGAAAAAAAAAUUUACAUUUGCUUUGGGUGUGUUUCAGGGUUUCACAGAUUUGUCAUGCGUGGGCAUAAGAAGACAUUUGAAGAUUUGUACAUGUGUUUAGAGGCCAGCAUGCUGGGAUAACGUCAGAGUGCAUUCCUUCCGAUUGUGUGGCGACUAAGACUGAGCAGCAAACAUGCUACAAAGACACUUAGAUUUAAUGUUGUAAGUGCCUGUGUAGCAUUGUUACAAAUGUGUGUUUUUUUUAAGUGCAACAUUUGUUAUAUUUUUCGUCAUAGCAGUUUUAUAUUGUAUGUAGCAACUCCAUUUUCAUGGUUAUCAUAUUGGUGAUGUUUUCUGUAAAAAAAAAAAAAAAAAAAA
Bacillus rossius redtenbacheri is the source of this 5446-nucleotide RNA transcript. It is a transcript of the gene named regulator of telomere elongation helicase 1 homolog, with no coding region annotated. The transcript is spliced from 16 exons. The record is from RefSeq and is a predicted model, not a curated record. Lineage: Eukaryota; Metazoa; Arthropoda; Insecta; Phasmatodea; Bacillidae.